GGUAGGGUCAGCGACUGGGGUGAAGUCGUAACAAGGUAGCCGUAGGGGAACCUGCGGCUGGAUCACCUCCUUUCUAAGGAUGAUCCUUCAGCGAGCUCACGCUCACUAUCGGAUCGUUUUAGAAACAUCAGUGGCCAACAGAUCGCCAGAUCGUUGAGCUGCAUUGGCGGGAUUUCGCCGUCUUCGUUUCUCUUUCUUCGCGGACGAACACGCGCUGGGCCUGCAUCAAGCAGGAUCCCACGGUCCCUGACGGGAUAUGCGUUAGGGGCUUGUAGCUCAGUUGGUUAGAGCGCGCGCUUGAUAAGCGUGAGGUCGGAAGUUCAAGUCUUCCCAGGCCCACCACUUUCAUCGAGUGAGCAUUCGUCUUCUGGUUACGGGGCCAUAGCUCAGCUGGGAGAGCGCGUGCUUUGCAAGCAUGAGGUCGUCGGUUCGAUCCCGUCUGGCUCCACCAGAUGGUUUGAUCACCGAGAUCUUGCACCGUCGUCCGCGAAACAUCACUUCGCAUCCUGCUAGUCUGGAUAGACAGCAAGAUGCGUGUUUUCUGACAUCGUAAAGAGGAGAUCGAUCCGAGUUGGGUCGCGCAGCAGAUUGUUGCGCGAACCUUCAUUAUCUCCGGAUCAUUUUCGGCGCUCGCUUUCAGCCGUGAGGUUGAAUGCGAGUUGUAAAAUGAUCCUUUUAGCGAAGCUUGACCGCCUCGCUAUCGGAACGAUCUUACGAAGCAAGCUGGUCUUUCUAGUCAAUGUCCGGCUGCACGUAGCAUUCAUCGAGGGUGCGCGCCGUAAGGCAAUCGUGCAGACAACAUUCUGCCGAGUGUGUGGACAUUGAUAAUGAGAGCAAUCAAGUGCCUUAAGGGUGUUCGGUGGAUGCCUUGGCGCUGAGAGGCGAUGAAGGACGUGCUACGCUGCGAUAAGCCGUGGGGAGCUGCGAAGAAGCUUUGAUCCGCGGAUUUCCGAAUGGGGAAACCCACCUUCGAUAGCCGGAACUCCAAGACCUUGUGUUUUGGUGUUCGACCAGAAAUGAUCGGGACCAUGACCCUAGAGGUUUUGGAUUUCCGGUUAUCAAGAGAAGGUAUGAGACUUCUGAAUACAUAGGAGGUUUCAAGCAAACCCAGGGAACUGAAACAUCUAA
This 1128-nucleotide unclassified non-coding RNA is filed under the name Bradyrhizobium sp. RNAcentral's name for it is "partial contains 16S ribosomal RNA, 16S-23S ribosomal RNA intergenic spacer, and 23S ribosomal RNA". The stretch from base 836 to 1128 matches the Rfam family "Bacterial large subunit ribosomal RNA", at positions 1 to 205 of the family's 2925-position model. The record is from RNAcentral. Lineage: Bacteria; Pseudomonadati; Pseudomonadota; Alphaproteobacteria; Hyphomicrobiales; Nitrobacteraceae.